UAUGCACGCUGGCGGUGUGCCUAAUACAUGCAAGUCGAGCGAACAGACGAGGAGCUUACUCCUCUGACGUUAGCGGCGGACGGGUGAGUAACACGUGGAUAACCUACCUAUAAGACUGGGAUAACUUCGGGAAACCGGAGCUAAUACCGGAUAACAUGUUGAACCGCAUGGUUCAACAGUGAAAGACGGUCUUGCUGUCACUUAUAGAUGGAUCCGCGUCGCAUUAGCUAGUUGGUAAGGUAACGGCUUACCAAGGCAACGAUGCGUAGCCGACCUGAGAGGGUGAUCGGCCACACUGGAACUGAGACACGGUCCAGACUCCUACGGGAGGCAGCAGUAGGGAAUCUUCCGCAAUGGGCGAAAGCCUGACGGAGCAACGCCGCGUGAGUGAAGAAGGUCUUCGGAUCGUAAAACUCUGUUAUUAGGGAAGAACAAAUGUGUAAGUAACUAUGCACGUCUUGACGGUACCUAAUCAGAAAGCCACGGCUAACUACGUG
Molecule: ribosomal RNA, 497 nt
Filed under: uncultured bacterium
Lineage: Bacteria
Description: partial 16S ribosomal RNA
Rfam family: Bacterial small subunit ribosomal RNA
Source: RNAcentral